UUCAUGAUCAAGGACUUUUGUGUGUUUGUGGUCACAUUGUUUUGUUUCUUCUUUCUUUAUACCAUUAACCACCUUGACGUAACAGUGUCCUGCUCCUGAUGCAUUUGUUCCGACUCUCACCACUCUUAGCUGCAAUAUUUUUUUCUCCUUACAGCAACAGUUGAGCAUAGUGUCCAGUGCUUCUUCUUCUUCAGCUUAAAAUAUCCUUGCUUGAAAGUUCUUGAAUGAAAACACAGGCAAUGACGAACACAAACAUAAAUAAUAACUGUGCCA
Non-coding RNA from Pelobates cultripes (western spadefoot toad), 273 nucleotides. Lineage: Eukaryota; Metazoa; Chordata; Amphibia; Anura; Pelobatidae. The record is from the annotation of a GenBank genome assembly.